AAGUGUGUAUUAUUUAUGCGUUGUUAUUAUUGUAUUCGGUGUAGAGAUAUUUCCUGUGCGGUGUAGACUAACUUUACAACUUCCUUCAGACGUUACCUAGAGUAGUUAUUGAGUUUUACCUGGAUCGAUUCAAAACCCUAAACGCUAAUAAAAUGUUGUCUGCUGUGGGAGUUAAAUGAGAGCGCCAUCUCGCGGCGAGUAUAUCAUCCCUGUUUGUUCUUAGCCUAUAAACUGUCAGCUUGUAGUGUUGGCAAGUAGCGACACAAGACGCGGAGAGGUGUUUGAGUGGGUUAUCAACGUAACGGACUAGCGGUAAAAACCACAGUCAGUUUCUUCUUUUAAAAAAUAAAAAGAUGGAUUUAGGAUUAACAGUAUUUGGGAUUAUUUCGAUCCUUUCUUUAAUACAUGGCGAGUUCAUUGUACCGAGUGCCAUUACAGCAGAUUUAGAUGAAACGGUUAUAUUAGAAUGUCGAUUAGAGGGCAACUACAGAUGGUACGCCAUCUCAUGGCAAAAACAAGCAGAAGAUGGAACAUCAGACAUUAUCGUCACACUUCCAGUUGAUACCAAACAACCAGACUGGAACAAUCAGAUGGACGCCUACUAUAGACAGAGAUAUGAACCGAUUAUAAAUAGCAACGCCGAUGUACUGGAAUUCAGCUUAAGAAUUAACGGAUUAACGUGCGUUGAUAGAGGAAUUUAUUCAUGUAAUGUUAUGGGUAAUUUCCCUCUCAAAUCUAAAUCAACAGAAGUUACCGUCACAUCCGUAGCAACCAGACCAGAUAUAAACUAUGAUGAACUUAGUUUAGAGAGAAACUCGACGUUUGAUAUCGAAUGUGAGGCAGAAGUUGGGUUUCCACCGGCUGAAUUAGUUUGGCUGUAUAAAGCCCAAGAUUCGCCGGUUU
Long non-coding RNA from Patella vulgata (common limpet), 903 nucleotides. RefSeq lists it as uncharacterized. The record is from RefSeq and is a predicted model, not a curated record. The transcript has 3 exons. Lineage: Eukaryota; Metazoa; Mollusca; Gastropoda; Patellidae.